RNAcentral lists this ribosomal RNA (442 nucleotides) under uncultured bacterium. Its description in RNAcentral is "partial 16S ribosomal RNA". It matches the Rfam family "Bacterial small subunit ribosomal RNA", at positions 338 to 795 of the family's 1533-position model. The record is from RNAcentral.
ACUACGGGAGGCUGCAGUAGGGAAUCUUUCACAAUGGGCGAAAGCCUGAUGGAGCAACGCCGCGUGCAGGAUGAAGGCCUUCGGGUUGUAAACUGCUUUUAUAAGCGAGAAAUAUGAUGGUAACUUAUGAAUAAGGAUCGGCUAACUACCUGCCAGCAGCCGCGGGCAUACGUAGGAUCCGAGCAUUAUCCGGAGUGACUGGGUGUAAAGAGUUGCGUAGGUGGCAUAAUAAGUAGCUAGUGAAAUCGGGUGGCUCAACCAUUCAGACUAUUAGCUAAACUGUUAAGCUCGAGACCGUUAGGGGUAACUGGAAUUUCUAGUGUAGGAGUGAAAUCCGUAGAUAUUAGAAAGAACACCAAUAGCGUAGGCAGGUUACUGGGACUGUUCUGACACUAAGGCACGAAAGCGUAGGGAGCAAACGGGAUUAGAUACCCGUGUAGUC